Molecule: ribosomal RNA, 459 nt
Filed under: uncultured microorganism
Description: bacterial SSU rRNA
Rfam family: Bacterial small subunit ribosomal RNA
Source: RNAcentral
GUGCAGCAGGCGAGAAUAGUCUACAAUGGACGAAAGUCUGAUAGUGCGACGCCGUGUGUGCGAUUAAUUCCUUCGGGAUGUAAAGCACUUUUCUAUGAGAUAAAAGCUCUUUAGGUUAAUAGCUUAUUGAGACGGAUAUUAUUAUAGGAAUAAGCUCCGGCUAACUCCGUGCCAGCAGCCGCGGUAAUACGGAAGGAGCGAGCGUUGUCCGGAUUUACUAGGCGUAAAGGGCUAGUAGGCGACUAAUUAAGUUAUAUGUUAAAUCCCACGGCUCAACUGUGGUCCUGCAUGUAAUACUGGUUAGAUAGAGUACUGUAGAGGAAGGCAGAAUUCCUGGAGUAGCGGUGGAAUGCGCAGAUAUCAGGAAGAAUACCAAAAGCGAAGGCAGCCUUCUGGGCAGUUACUGACGCUGAAUAGCGAAGGUGUGGGUAGCGAACAGGGAUUAGAUACCCCCGUAGU